CGCCUUGCCACGCCGCUCAGAACUUAAAGGAAUUGACGGGGCCCGCACAAGCGGUGGAGUAUGUGGUUUAAUUCGAUGCAACGCGAAGAACCUUACCUGGUCUUGACAUCCCGGAGACCCUUAGGAAACUAGGGGGUGCCUUUCCAUCUGGAAGAAUCUGGAGACAGGUGCUGCAUGGCUGUCGUCAGCUCGUGUCGUGAGAUGUUGGGUUAAGUCCCGCAACGAGCGCAACCCUUGCCUUUAGUUGCCAGCAGUUCGGCUGGGCACUCUAAAGGGACUGCCGGUGUUAAACCGGAGGAAGGUGGGGAUGACGUCAAGUCCUCAUGGCCUUUAUGACCAGGGCUACACACGUACUACAAUGGCCGAUACAAAGGGCAGCGACACUGCGAGGUGAAGCCAAUCCCGUAAAAUCGGUCUCAGUCCGGAUUGGAGUCUGCAACUCGACUCCAUGAAGUUGGAAUCGCUAGUAAUCGUGGAUCAGCAUGCCACGGUGAAUACGUUCCCGGGCCUU
This 511-nucleotide ribosomal RNA is filed under the name uncultured Desulfobulbus sp. Its description in RNAcentral is "bacterial SSU rRNA". It matches the Rfam family "Bacterial small subunit ribosomal RNA", at positions 903 to 1382 of the family's 1533-position model. The record is from RNAcentral. Lineage: Bacteria; Pseudomonadati; Thermodesulfobacteriota; Desulfobulbia; Desulfobulbales; Desulfobulbaceae.